GGAUGUAAGGGCUAUCUGGCUGCAACAUCUGUCACCCCACUGAUCGCCAGGGUUGGCUAGGAGGGUGUCCCCUUCCUCCCUCACCGCUCCAUGUGCGUCCCUCCCGAAGCUGUGCGCUUGGUCAAAGAGGACGAACAUCCCCGACAGAGGAGGACUGGUCUUCGGUCAAGGGUAUACAAGUAACUGCACUCACCUGCUAGAACCUCCAUUCAAGCUCUCAAAAAAUUGGAAAAAAAAAUUAGCUGCUUGGGAGGCUGAGGUGGCAGCCUGAGCCCAGAGAGGUCGAGUGAGCCAUGAUUGUGUCACUGCGCUCCAGCCU
Molecule: small nuclear RNA, 319 nt
Filed under: Macaca nemestrina (pig-tailed macaque)
Lineage: Eukaryota; Metazoa; Chordata; Mammalia; Primates; Cercopithecidae
Description: 7SK RNA (ENSMNEG00000000285.1)
Rfam family: 7SK RNA (bases 1-273)
About the family: 7SK was discovered as an abundant small nuclear RNA in the mid-70s but a possible function has only recently been suggested. Two independent studies have found that 7SK RNA binds the CDK9/cyclin T complex (known as elongation factor P-TEFb).
Source: RNAcentral